ACUAGGGCGGUGGAAAGGGGUUUUCUUUUUUCCUCUGGUUUGAACCGAGAGAGAGAGAGAUUUCUUUUUUUUUUUCCUUCUCGGUUUGGAAGAAGUAGCCGGGAGAUGGAUCGGGGCUUUGGCAGCAGGGGCAAAACCCGCCAAAGCUCUGAUACCAAGAUGAUGUAGCACCAGUGCGGGGAAAGAGAAGGAGAAGGAAGAAGAGGUUGUAGAGACGCAGGAAGAAUAAAGGAGGAGAGGAAAAAAAGAGAAGAAAGAACGUAGGGGGAAAGAAAUUCCAAAUCACUUCAUUAAACCCUAAUCAUGAAAAUAGUUCCCUAUAUAUAGGGCCCAAAUACACAACUUGCAUAAAUCCCCCUUACACAGAAAUAAAUCCUAAUAAACCCACAAAUAACAUAAAUAAGCCCUAAAAUGCAAAUAAGCCCAGAAAUAACAUAAACUACAAAUAAACCCUAGAAUGCAAACAAGCCCAGAAAUAAAAUAAUAAAAUAAAUAUGCAAAUAAACGAGUCUGACUCAAUCCGGGGGCUCAGGAUCAUCUGGAUGAAGGGCUCUGAUGUCCCCAUCACGUAGGAGCACCUAGGAAGUAGCAACUCCGAUUUAAGUUUUAAUUUUAAAUUAGAUAAAAAAUUUUUUUGGUGUUGCUGUUGAGGUAAUUUGAUGUUUUAACUAGCAAUAGAUGGGUG
This 685-nucleotide long non-coding RNA is filed under the name Phoenix dactylifera (date palm). Its description in RNAcentral is "long non-coding RNA (PDAC_LNC019381)". Lineage: Eukaryota; Viridiplantae; Streptophyta; Magnoliopsida; Arecales; Arecaceae. The record is from RNAcentral.